GAGUUUGAUCGUGGCUCAGAGUGAACGCUGGCGGCAGGCCUAACACAUGCAAGUCGAGCGGCAGCGGGUCGUAGCAAUACGAUGCCGGCGAGCGGCGGACGGGUGAGGAACACAUCGGAAUCUACCCAGUCGUGGGGGAUAACGUAGGGAAACUUACGCUAAUACCGCAUACGACCUACGGGUGAAAGCGGCGGACCGCAAGGCGUCGCGCGAUUGGAUGAGCCGAUGUCCGAUUAGCUAGUUGGCGGGGUAAGAGCCCACCAAGGCGACGAUCGGUAGCUGGUCUGAGAGGAUGAUCAGCCACACUGGAACUGAGACACGGUCCAGACUCCUACGGGAGGCAGCAGUGGGGAAUAUUGGACAAUGGGCGCAAGCCUGAUCCAGCCAUGCCGCGUGUGUGAAGAAGGCCUCGG
This 413-nucleotide ribosomal RNA is filed under the name uncultured Gammaproteobacteria bacterium. RNAcentral's name for it is "bacterial SSU rRNA". It matches the Rfam family "Bacterial small subunit ribosomal RNA", at positions 9 to 420 of the family's 1533-position model. Lineage: Bacteria; Pseudomonadati; Pseudomonadota; Gammaproteobacteria. The record is from RNAcentral.